GCUGUAACGGUCAUUACAGAUGCAGAUAAUUGGAAUUUUGGACAUUUUAAUGCUUGCAAUCAGAUCGGCAACUCCACCCCUAUCUCCCGCAGACAUUCCAUCUACCUCAUCCAUGAUCAACACAGUUUUGGGAUGUUUUGGCUGAUCCAUUCUGAAGUGCAGUGAUUCAUUGCUGAUAAGCUCCUUUAUAGAAUUUGCAUUGCUUCCACCAAUUCCCUUUUGAACCUUGGCAUCUGAUUUACCUCGAUUGUCGCUGGCGUUUACCUCUAUAGCCUCAAAACCAAGCAUCUGGCUAACCAACUUAGCGGAUGUAGUUUUACCUAUGCCAGGACCUCCACAUAACAAGACAGCUUUUUUGGCACCAGAAUCAUUGAGCUUUUUAACCUUCUUUUUGCUUCCAACAUCUAUGAAGUUUUUG
RNAcentral lists this unclassified non-coding RNA (418 nucleotides) under Hevea brasiliensis (rubber tree). The record is from RNAcentral. Lineage: Eukaryota; Viridiplantae; Streptophyta; Magnoliopsida; Malpighiales; Euphorbiaceae.